This 85-nucleotide transfer RNA is filed under the name Felis catus (domestic cat). It matches the Rfam family "tRNA". Rfam says of the family: Transfer RNA (tRNA) molecules are approximately 80 nucleotides in length. Their secondary structure includes four short double-helical elements and three loops (D, anti-codon, and T loops). Lineage: Eukaryota; Metazoa; Chordata; Mammalia; Carnivora; Felidae. The record is from Rfam by way of RNAcentral.
GCCUGAGUGGCUCAGUUAGUUGAGCAUCUGACUUCGGCUCAGGUCAUGAUCUCACGGUUUGUGGGUUCAAGCCUCACGUCAGGCU